UCCCUGGUGGCUCAGAGAGUAAAGAAUCUGCCUGCAAUGCAGGAGACCCAGGUUUGAUCCCUGGUUCAGGAA
RNAcentral lists this transfer RNA (72 nucleotides) under Bos taurus (domestic cattle). It matches the Rfam family "tRNA". Rfam says of the family: Transfer RNA (tRNA) molecules are approximately 80 nucleotides in length. Their secondary structure includes four short double-helical elements and three loops (D, anti-codon, and T loops). RNAcentral also lists the same sequence under 5 other names. Lineage: Eukaryota; Metazoa; Chordata; Mammalia; Artiodactyla; Bovidae. The record is from Rfam by way of RNAcentral.